Long non-coding RNA from Rhagoletis zephyria (snowberry fruit fly), 667 nucleotides. RefSeq lists it as uncharacterized. NCBI's taxonomy places the organism in Eukaryota, Metazoa, Arthropoda, Insecta, Diptera, Tephritidae. The record is from RefSeq and is a predicted model, not a curated record.
AUUUCUUUCACCCAUAGCGAUUUAUGUGCUGUUUUCCUGUGAUCGAAUAUAUUACGGACACGUUCAAGUUUUCCACCGCUUGUGCGUGUUGUGUUCCAGCCCAAGUGCGGCAUAGCGUUUUCAUUGGCAUCGUUUGUGCAACAAGUUCAAGCUUUCCAUCGCUUGUUUGUAUUGGGUUCCAGCACAAGUGCGGCAUAGCGUUUUCUUUGGCAUCGUUCGUUCCACACGUUCAAGUAAGUUGGGGCUUUGUGGAUGCACUUUUGAGUUUUUGGAAAAAAACUCGAAAUGCGCUUUUAUUGCGAUUUUUUAUCGCUGUGUAUGUUGUGUUCCGGCCCAAAUGCGGCAUAGCGUUUUUAUAGGCAUCGUUCGUUCAACACGUUCAGGUUUUCCAUCGCUUGUGUGUGUUGUGUUCCAACCCAAGUGCGGCAAAGCAUUUUCAUUGGCAUCGUUCGUCCAAUACGUUCAAGUAAGAGGGGACUGGAGUUUUACUAACGCAUUUUCUGUUUUGUUUGUAAGUACUAUAGACUGGAAACGAUUUGGAUUUUUGUUAACCGACUUCAAAACAAGAAGGAGGUUAUCGCUUCGUCGGGAUAUUUUGUAUUUUUUUCUAUAUUUUUAACCGGGUAACUUUUUAAAAAUAUUUAUCUAUUAAUAGCAAAAUAUGGAA